CCUACGUGAGGCAGCAGUGAGGAAUAUUUGUCACUGGACGAGAGUCUGAACCAGCCAAGUAGCGUGACGGAUGACUGCCCUAUGGGUUGUACACUUCUUUUAUAUGGGACUAAAACAUUCUAAGUGUGCCCUUUUGUAUGUACCAUAUAAAUAAGGAUCGGCUAACUCCGUGCCAGCAGCCGCGGUAAUACGGAGGAUCCGAGCGUUAUCCGGAUUUAUUGGGUUUAAAGGGAGCGUAGGUGGAUUGUUAAGUCAGUUGUGAAAGUUUGCGGCUCAACCGUAAAAUUGCAGUUGAAAAUGGCAGUCUUGAGUACAGUAGAGGUGGGCGGAAUUCGUGGUGUAGCGGUGAAAUGCUUAGAUAUCACGAAGAACUCCGAUUGCGAAGGCAGUUCACUGGACUGCAACUGACACUGAUGCUCGAAAGUGUGGGUAUCAAACAGGAUUAGAUACCCUUGUAGUC
Molecule: ribosomal RNA, 460 nt
Filed under: uncultured bacterium
Lineage: Bacteria
Description: partial 16S ribosomal RNA
Rfam family: Bacterial small subunit ribosomal RNA
Source: RNAcentral